This 614-nucleotide unclassified non-coding RNA is filed under the name Hevea brasiliensis (rubber tree). The record is from RNAcentral. Lineage: Eukaryota; Viridiplantae; Streptophyta; Magnoliopsida; Malpighiales; Euphorbiaceae.
CACUGCAAAUGAGUUGACCUAUAAUCAGUUGCAAUGGUAAAAUAUUGCACUUUAAAUCAUGGCUACAUCACUUCAAAACUUAAAAUGCAGGAUGAUAUUAUAGAAAACCAUGCCAAAAACAAGUUUAACAUAAAAUCAAACUCAAACUAAGUACUAGAUAUUAACUCAUCCAUGAUAACAAAUAACUACAAACAACCACAAAAGUGCAAUGGAAUAGCUAGGUAACUGCAGUCACUCUUCAUGGAGCAACAACGUUUAAAACAAAACAGAACAUGCUCCAACUGCAAUUAUUGUUGGCGGAGUUCAACCUUCUUCUUUUGCCAAAGCCUGUCCAAGGCACUGUCAGCAUCACCCUGAGCUCGGACGAAACCACAGAGAGCAAAAGUGGUAAAUUGACCAGUGUAGUGGCCAUUGGCAUCCAAAUGCCCAAUGUUAAUCUGGACAGAAGCAUGAUCCUUGGAGGUGAUGAGCCUGUUUGUGGCAGAGCAUUUCCUGGGGAUGUACAGAUCCAUAUUCUGACCCUCUUCGUUCUGCAUCUUGAAUGAUUGAUUCGCUACCCAAAAAACCACUUAGCUCAAAUUACCUGAUGAAGAGGACUACAACUGCUAUAGAAG